UACGGAGGGUGCGAGCGUUGUCCGGAAUCACUGGGCGUAAAGAGCGUGUAGGCGGUUCGGUAAGUCUGCCGUGAAAACCUGAGGCUCAACCUCGGGCGUGCGGUGGAUACUGCCGGGCUAGAGGACGGUAGAGGCGAGUGGAAUUCCCGGUGUAGCGGUGAAAUGCGCAGAUAUCAGGAGGAACACCGGUGGCGAAGGCGGGUCUCUGGGCAGUAACUGACGCUGAGGAGCGAAAGCGUGGGGAGCGAACAGG
RNAcentral lists this ribosomal RNA (253 nucleotides) under uncultured bacterium. RNAcentral describes it as "partial 16S ribosomal RNA". It matches the Rfam family "Bacterial small subunit ribosomal RNA", at positions 524 to 776 of the family's 1533-position model. The record is from RNAcentral.